AAUUUUUAGUCUAUAAGAUCCAGAAAUACCUUCGUGCAACUGGCAUUCCUAUUGAAGCUCCAUGUAUCAACUCACUAAACCGUUUUACCCGGAGACUACUUGUUUUUUCUCCCAUAACAAAACUAAUUGCGUCCAUAAAAUUAGAUUUUCCUAUAUUAGAAACAAAUAUAUAAUGCAUAAUAGGUCUGAAAUUAUUAGAAGUUCUCCAUAUACUAAUAUAAAAGAACAUAACCUACCGGAUCCAUUUGGUCCAACAACAGCAGUAAAGGAUUUUAGAGGUCCUAUAAUAAGCUUUCCUCUCUAACAGUAAAGUGGUAUAAUUGGCGCCAUAAAGUUUCCAACACAAACAAGCAUUAUACGUCAACAAUUGGUUUUCUA
RNAcentral lists this unclassified non-coding RNA (378 nucleotides) under Bombus terrestris (buff-tailed bumblebee). RNAcentral describes it as "misc RNA ENSBTSG00005038530.1". The record is from RNAcentral. Lineage: Eukaryota; Metazoa; Arthropoda; Insecta; Hymenoptera; Apidae.